CUUUGCCUAUCAAGGCCUAAGGUUCUCGCUGCUCCCCCUUUGCUCCCCGCCUCCCCGGUGUUCUAGCUUCACUCAGGUUUUAAUUAUGCACAAUGUCGCGUGUAUCGCCGGCCAACCACAGAGCACCGCCGCCGACUAGCCAUGGAUGUUUGUCGAUCCCGAGUCGUUUAAAUUAUCAAAUAUCAGAAGAAUGGGUUUCAAUGUCCAAAGACCAGCAGGUUCUUUCACUUCUGGGCUAGUGGGAGACUCAUCACCCUUUGUUGUACUGCCUCAACCCCUUCUGAAAGUUUGGAAAUAAAUUUCAAAGUAAGCUCUGCCUUGGUGGAAAUCGUCCGGCGUAUAGGUACAAGGCCACGCUAUAUUCUCGCAAAGGGAGGGGCCCUUCACCAAAGAGGAGUUGGAUGAAGUUCGAGACAAGUGGGCUACUUACUUCAACGAUUGUGAAUUACCCUCAGUGUAAUAAUUAGAGAAGGCUUGUAGUUUUUCGUGACUCUUACAUUAUUUUGUUAUUUAUCGAUUUAAUUAAUUACAUUCGAAUUAAUUCGGAAAUAUUAUUGGA
Molecule: long non-coding RNA, 559 nt
Organism: Spinacia oleracea (spinach)
Lineage: Eukaryota; Viridiplantae; Streptophyta; Magnoliopsida; Caryophyllales; Amaranthaceae
Exons: 5
Source: RefSeq, a predicted model, not a curated record